RNAcentral lists this ribosomal RNA (373 nucleotides) under uncultured organism. RNAcentral's name for it is "partial 16S ribosomal RNA". It matches the Rfam family "Bacterial small subunit ribosomal RNA", at positions 527 to 896 of the family's 1533-position model. The record is from RNAcentral.
GGAGGGGGCCAGCGUUGUUCGGAAUUAUUGGGCGUAAAGGGCGCGUAGGCGGCCAAGCAAGUCGGAGGUGAAAUCCCUCGGCUCAACCGAGGAAUUGCCUCCGAUACUGCAUGGCUUGAGUCCCGGAGAGGGUAGCGGAAUUCCCAGUGUAGCGGUGAAAUGCGUAGAUAUUGGGAGGAACACCAGUGGCGAAGGCGGCUACCUGGACGGGUACUGACGCUGAGGCGCGAAAGCGUGGGUAGCAAACAGGAUUAGAUACCCUGGUAGUCCACGCUGUAAACGAUGGGCACUCGGUGUUGCGGGUAUCGACCCCCUGCAGUGCCGAAGCUAACGCAUUAAGUGCCCCCGCCUGGGGAGUACGGUCGCAAGGCUG